CUGGCUCUCUAGGGAGCAUGUGCACGCCUUGUCAUCUUUAACCAAUACCUGUGCACCUUUUGUAGACCUUUCGGGGUCUAUGUUGCUAUCUUUUUCCACAAUGUAUGUUAAUAGAAUGUUGUGCCCUGUAUAAUAUAUACAACUUUCAGCAACGGAUCUCUUGGCUCUCGCAUCGAUGAAGAACGCAGCGAAAUGCGAUAAGUAAUGUGAAUUGCAGAAUUCAGUGAAUCAUCGAAUCUUUGAACGCACCUUGCGCUCCUUGGUAUUCCGAGGAGCAUGCCUGUUUGAGUGUCAUUAAUAUACAUAUAUCAAGCCUUCUCUUGUAGAAGGGUUUGGAUGUGGGGGUUUGCUGGCCUCUUAAUCUUAAGAGUUCAGCUCUCCUGAAAUGCAUUAGCAGAACAACCUUAUGUUCAUUGGUGUGAUAACUAUCUACGCUAUUGAAUGUUGAGGGGGAAGUUCAGCUUUCUAACGGUCCCUUGGACAACUCAUCAUUAAUGUGACCUCAAAUCAGGUAGGACUACCCGCUGAACUUAAGCAUAUCAAUAAGCGGAGGAAAAGAAACUAACAAGGAUUCCCCUAGUAACUGCGAGUGAAGCGGGAAAAGCUCAAAUUUAAAAUCUGGCGGUUUUUUUGGCCGUCCGAGUUGUAAUCUAGAGAAGUGUUAUCCGCGCUGGACCGUGUACAAGUCUCCUGGAAUGGAGCAUCAUAGAGGGUGAGAAUCCUGUCUUUGACAUGGACUGCCAGGGCUUUGUGAUG
Molecule: ribosomal RNA, 756 nt
Filed under: uncultured Cortinarius
Lineage: Eukaryota; Fungi; Basidiomycota; Agaricomycetes; Agaricales; Cortinariaceae
Description: eukaryotic LSU rRNA
Rfam family: Eukaryotic large subunit ribosomal RNA (bases 498-756)
Source: RNAcentral